Molecule: transfer RNA, 73 nt
Filed under: Candidatus Bathyarchaeota archaeon
Lineage: Archaea; Thermoproteati; Candidatus Bathyarchaeota
Also listed under: 1 other name
Description: tRNA-Cys
Rfam family: tRNA
About the family: Transfer RNA (tRNA) molecules are approximately 80 nucleotides in length. Their secondary structure includes four short double-helical elements and three loops (D, anti-codon, and T loops).
Source: RNAcentral
GCCGGGGUGGCCGAACGGUUCAGGCGACAGCCUGCAGAGCUGUUCUAUGUGGGUUCAAUUCCCAUCCCCGGCU